CGAACUGAAAAAGGUCAAACUAUUUAUAACCUCAUGUCAUAUGUUAUUUUAAAUGUUUUUGAAUAUUAACCAAAAAGUAAAGGAAAGAUGUCAUCAGGAACGGAAAAUUACGAGCGUCUGAAUGAGCUAUUAAAUCGUUUAGUAUAUCCAACAUGUGAAAAGAUUCUAGAACAUUAUCUUCAAUCAAAUAAAGUAUCGAUCUACCAAUUCCUAGAGACAAACAAACAUCGCAUCGUGCACUGUUCUCGUGUCAAAACAACUUGCUGUUCACUGCAUGCCAACUGUGCAUACCCAAUAUCGGCAACGUUGACCAAAAGACAGUGGAGCUUCUUGUAUAAAGACGAAGAAAAAAAUAUUUGCACAAAGCCAGUUUGUAUUUGUAAUGUUGUCACAACAUGCAAAAAAUUUAGGAAUCUUAAUCUGAAUGUUAUAUGUUUCCUUAUAAUUGAAUUCUCAAUGAUUGAUGGAUUAAACAUGGAAGCAUUGAGGAGACUGAAUGUAUUCAAUCAAGAGAUGCAGGACAUAAGAACAGGAAUAGUUCCGUAUAGUGAAUUUCAGACAAAAUGGAAUACCACUACAGACAGUUUAAUGGUCCUAGGUGUUACUCAGCAGCAGAUAGAUAGAAUAAAGAAACUGAGAGUAAACCGAACACCUACUCCUACUGCUUUAGAUGACAGGAAUUGCAGAUGUCCAUGUUGUAAAAUACUCCUAAUGGCAUUAGUCGUACUGAUUAUUCUAGGCAUACCUGUAGGAAUCAUAGUUGUACUUGUCCUGUAUAUUUAAUGACAAAAUUACUGGUUAACAAUUGCAUGAAUAUAGAUGUUAUAAAUAUAUUCAUAAAGAGCUGGAAUAAUGCAAAUACAGAUGAAUUCAAAAAGAAAAAAAGACUGACACAAAUUGAUAUACUUCUAUUCAGAAAUUAAUGCUAUGCUUUAUCAAUGACAAAAAAUAAAUAAAAUAACAAAUAAAUAAAUAAAGUCAAAUAAAUAAAAAUUACAAUAUGAAUAGUGCAAGAACAUUUAAAAAUACUAGCUCUUUUAUUUGUGGUAAUGAUAUUUCAUUAAAAAAAGUGCAAGAUGUAAAGCAUUAUUUUUAGUUGUUGAAGAUUCGUAAUAAUAUAUGCUUUUAAUAAAUCAUCAAGUUUCAUUAUACUUUCUAAUUUUAUCAAAGUAGCAUUUGUUUAUGGUGUGGCACAAAUAAAGUUUUAAUGAA
Molecule: long non-coding RNA, 1212 nt
Organism: Mytilus californianus (California mussel)
Lineage: Eukaryota; Metazoa; Mollusca; Bivalvia; Mytilida; Mytilidae
Exons: 5
Source: RefSeq, a predicted model, not a curated record